This 76-nucleotide transfer RNA is filed under the name Eubacterium sp. CAG:38. RNAcentral's name for it is "transfer RNA-Lys(CTT)". It matches the Rfam family "tRNA". Rfam says of the family: Transfer RNA (tRNA) molecules are approximately 80 nucleotides in length. Their secondary structure includes four short double-helical elements and three loops (D, anti-codon, and T loops). Further hydrogen bonds mediate the characteristic L-shaped molecular structure. tRNAs have two regions of fundamental functional importance: the anti-codon, which is responsible for specific mRNA codon recognition, and the 3' end, to which the tRNAs corresponding amino acid is attached (by aminoacyl-tRNA synthetases). tRNAs cope with the degeneracy of the genetic code in two manners: having more than one tRNA (with a specific anti-codon) for a particular amino acid; and 'wobble' base-pairing, i.e. permitting non-standard base-pairing at the 3rd anti-codon position. Lineage: Bacteria; Bacillati; Bacillota; Clostridia; Eubacteriales; Eubacteriaceae. The record is from RNAcentral.
GCGCCGCUAGCUCAGUUGGUAGAGCACCUGACUCUUAAUCAGGGUGUCCAGGGUUCGAACCCCUGGCGGCGCACUA